GAUUGGUCGAAGUGCAGUGGUGUUUACGACUAAUAGAUCACAACCAGUUACAGAUUUCUUUGUUACUUCUCCACUUCUACUGCUUCACUUGACCAGCCUUUU
This 102-nucleotide Y RNA is filed under the name Propithecus coquereli (Coquerel's sifaka). RNAcentral's name for it is "Y RNA (ENSPCOG00000003829.1)". It matches the Rfam family "Y RNA". From Rfam's summary of the family: Y RNAs are components of the Ro ribonucleoprotein particle (Ro RNP), in association with Ro60 and La proteins. The Y RNAs and Ro60 and La proteins are well conserved, but the function of the Ro RNP is not known. Lineage: Eukaryota; Metazoa; Chordata; Mammalia; Primates; Indriidae. The record is from Rfam by way of RNAcentral.